UGUGGAGCUGAACAAAAUUUGUUUUGUAAUUUUUAGAUUUUUCUACAAAUUACUAACAUUUAUCAAUUUUCAACUGAUUUAAAAAAUAAAAUAAAAGUAAAUUAAUAGGAUAAACACUUUGCACUUAGGCCCUAUACUUUUUUUUAUUCUCAACGUGCUCUGAUAUGUAUUAUUUAAUGUGUCAGAAGAUUUUGUAUUGGAAACCCUCGAAAAACUUUUAUUUUUUUUUUCUCUCUUCCAACGAUUCCAGAGAGAAGAUUGGCCGACAGAAUAAAAUGAGC
This 281-nucleotide long non-coding RNA is filed under the name Sorghum bicolor (sorghum). RNAcentral's name for it is "long non-coding RNA (SBIC_LNC001683)". The record is from RNAcentral. Lineage: Eukaryota; Viridiplantae; Streptophyta; Magnoliopsida; Poales; Poaceae.